AUUGAACGCUGGCGGCGUGCUUAACACGUGCAAGUCGAACGCGAAAGGGACUUCGGUCCUGAGUAAAGUGGCGCACGGGUGAGUAACGCGUGGAUAAUCUGCCCUUAUGAUCGGGAUAACAGUUGGAAACGGCUGCUAAUACCGGAUACGCUCAAAAUGAACUUUUUGAGGAAAGAUGGCCUCUGCUUGCAUGCUAUCGCGUAAGGAUGAGUCCGCGUCCCAUUAGCUUGUUGGCGGGGUAACGGCCCACCAAGGCAUCGAUGGGUAGCCGAUUUGAGAGGAUGAUCGGCCAAACUGGAACUGAAACACGGUCCAGACGCCUACGGGAGGCAGCAGUGGGGAAUAUUGCGCAAUGGGCGAAAGCCUGACGCAGCGACGCCGCGUGAGGGAUGAAGGUUUUCGGAUCGUAAACCUCUGUCAGAAGGGAAGAAACUACGUUGUGCUAAUCAGCAGCGUACUGACGGUACCUUCAAAGGAAGCACCGGCUAACUCCGUGCCAGCAGCCGCCGUAA
RNAcentral lists this ribosomal RNA (512 nucleotides) under uncultured bacterium. RNAcentral's name for it is "partial 16S ribosomal RNA". It matches the Rfam family "Bacterial small subunit ribosomal RNA", at positions 30 to 523 of the family's 1533-position model. The record is from RNAcentral.